Molecule: ribosomal RNA, 466 nt
Filed under: Vreelandella stevensii
Lineage: Bacteria; Pseudomonadati; Pseudomonadota; Gammaproteobacteria; Oceanospirillales; Halomonadaceae
Description: partial 16S ribosomal RNA
Rfam family: Bacterial small subunit ribosomal RNA
Source: RNAcentral
CCUACGGGGAGGCAGCAGUGGGGAAUAUUGGACAAUGGGCGAAAGCCUGAUCCAGCCAUGCCGCGUGUGUGAAGAAGGCCUUCGGGUUGUAAAGCACUUUCAGUGGGGAAGAAAGCCUUGGGGCUAAUACCCUCGAGGAAGGACAUCACCCACAGAAGAAGCACCGGCUAACUCCGUGCCAGCAGCCGCGGUAAUACGGAGGGUGCGAGCGUUAAUCGGAAUUACUGGGCGUAAAGCGCGCGUAGGCGGUCUGAUAAGCCGGUUGUGAAAGCCCCGGGCUCAACCUGGGAACGGCAUCCGGAACUGUCAGGCUAGAGUGCAGGAGAGGAAGGUAGAAUUCCCGGUGUAGCGGUGAAAUGCGUAGAGAUCGGGAGGAAUACCAGUGGCGAAGGCGGUCUUCUGGACUGACACUGACGCUGAGGUGCGAAAGCGUGGGUAGCAAACAGGAUUAGAUACCCUUGUAGUC